CCCAAGCAAGCAAAACAUGUUCCUCUCGGGUGCAAAGUCCAGUUUCCAGGCCUUUUGUCUUGUUGACUGCUUCCAUGGGGAAAGCAGUGGCUACAGCCUCCCCAGUGACCUCCUGCCAUCUCCGGGGGCACAUAUAUCAACCAGUCAGUGAAGCUGAGGAGGUUCAUGAUAUCGCCGUUCGAUCCUCGUUACAGAGCAUGGCAGAUGUUCCUGAUUCUACUUGUCAUUUAUUCAGCCUGGAUUUGCUCAUUUGAAUUAGCUUCCCUGAGAUAUAUAACUCCCAGCAAAGCUUUUAUGGAUUGAGAACAUUCUCAGCAGUUUCUUCGCAAUUGAUAGUUGGGAACAAGCUAUCUCGGCCUUCUCAUCUCGACAAUCUCACGGCUUAUUCUCCUCAAAAUCCUUUGCUCUCCAGAGAUGAUUACUGGCCACCAAUUCCGUACACUCCCGAAAAAGGUCAGAUCGAUGCUCGUCGACAAAUGGCAGCAAUUUUGGAAAACACGAGUUCAAAACUGUUAGAGGAACCGCUUCAACUUCUUUCAUGGACUUAACGAGUUCGGAUCAUGAAAAGGAACAAAGAAGGUUGCAGAGGAAAUGAUGGUGGUUUUUUUAACUUAGGUUUGGUCUCCACGUCGAGUUCGAGAUCUAUUGGCAACCCUUGGUAUCGUCAGUAUGAUUGUCCUAAUUUCAGCUUGCAACAUAGUCCGUAUGUUGUUCCACUUAAGCUCUCAGUACCUUACCAGCAUUGUUACUAUUUACACUUUAUUAUAAUCACUUGUUAAUGAUCAUUCCACAUCUGUUUUCAACAAGUAAAUCUACUGUGAAGUAAAUUG
Zingiber officinale is the source of this 830-nucleotide long non-coding RNA. RefSeq lists it as uncharacterized. The record is from RefSeq and is a predicted model, not a curated record. NCBI's taxonomy places the organism in Eukaryota, Viridiplantae, Streptophyta, Magnoliopsida, Zingiberales, Zingiberaceae. The transcript is spliced from 3 exons.